AUUGAACGCUGGCGGCAGGCCUAACACAUGCAAGUCGAGCGGAGCGGCGGACGGGCGAGUAAUGCCUAGGAAUCUGCCUGGUCGUGGGGGAUAACGUCCGGAAACGGGCGCUAAUACCGCAUACUAUCAGAUGAGCCUAGGUCGGUUUAGCUAGUUGGUGGGGUAAAGGCCUACCAAGGCUACGAUCCGUAACUGGUCUGAGAGGAUGAUCAGUCACACUGGAACUGAGACACGGUGCAGAGGCCUACGGUAGGCAGAAGUGGGGAAUAUUGGGCAAUGGGAGAAAGCCUGAUCCAGCCAUGCCGCGUGUGUGAAUAAGGUCUUCGGGUUGUAAAGCACUAAAAGUUGGGAGGCGUUACCAACAGAAGAAGCACCGGCUAACUACGUGCCAGCAGCCGCGGUAAUAC
This 407-nucleotide ribosomal RNA is filed under the name uncultured bacterium. RNAcentral describes it as "partial 16S ribosomal RNA". It matches the Rfam family "Bacterial small subunit ribosomal RNA", at positions 30 to 526 of the family's 1533-position model. The record is from RNAcentral.